UUUUGUAGUCUGAUAGGAGACGAGCGCCAGACCACUCGAUGGGUGUCGAUUCAGUUCGAAUCGCACGCUCACGAAAGGUGCUUCACAUGUAAAAAAGCAAAAAGGGAAAUCCCUUUGGCCUGGAAUUAACAUCCCGCAAUCCCCGCAUGCAAUCUCUCCCUAAUCACUUGCCUCCCAUACAUCCUGAUUCCACUCACGGCCAACUGCACGCACAACCCCGAGCUCGCCUCGCCCAGAUCGCCUCCUGCCGCCGCCUCCCACGCACCCGUCUCGAUCUCCCGUCGUCGUCGAGCAACACGAUCGACCACCUCACCGGCCAGCCUCCUUCCCCUACUCCUCCCCACCACAUCGUCUUGUACAACGAUCUACCUAGAUGCUAAUUCUCCACGACACCACGACCGCAGUCCGACACGGACGAUGAUAGCUGGCACCGGCGGCCGUGAGUAAGAAGUUUGAUGGCAAAUCCCACGUAGGUGGCCGUGAUGCCUAUCCCAGCAGGGAGGUUGAAGUAGGUAUCGAGCAAUGACCAAGUGACAUCAGAUUGCUUCCUUCGCCUCUAGCGCCAUCCCUUGUCUACAGCGAUGGGAGCACUCCAAGCCGGCUGCACAAAACAGUGGCUCGCAUCGUCGGCUGACCUAGUUUUAAUUUGAUUUCAGUUGUCCUACUUUGCUGUAAAGGAGGUCUCGGCUAAUGGUGCACCGUUGCUGCAGUGCCGCUCCAUACAUGUCAAUCCUUCUUAAUGUCGCUAACCAUGGCUAUAGAAGGAAGCACGACCACCACAGGAAGGACACACACCUACCAUCACAAGGAAGCAUGGCCGAUAUCGGAAGGAAGCACAACGACCAUGCAUGGCCAGCAUUGGAAGGAUGCACGCCCGCCAUCAAAAUAGACUCCCGACUAUGAUCGCAAUGAAGCACGACCAACUUCGAAACGAAGCUUGGUGACCAUCGGCCAUUGGUGUUUGAGUGUUUGAACUGUGCCUAGAUUCCACGUUUUGUUUUAUGGGACCAAAUUCUGAUUUUUUGGAUGCAAAUUCUAGUUUCUUUGAUAGUAUUUGCUACAAAUGUUACCUGCGUCUCAUUUUACAAUUUUAGCAAUUGUCUUUACUAUCAACGCUGAAAGAUGCCACGCUGCCAUAUUAUACACCAUACAUAUGUUUCUUUGUUUUAGGUAGUUUCUCUUCCAUAGUUAUAGCCUCCAAAUUUUGUCUGUGCCAUUCUCUCAUGUAAACAUUCUCUUCAUUAAUACUGCAGGUACAUAUAGUAACAAUUGUUGCUUCCGACAUCCGAUACAUAUGCAUCAUGCUAAACCGAUGCAUGCUUCAAGCAGUUGUGUGUGCUCUCUUCAUGGUCGAUCGGUGUCGUGAGACAGGUAUAUAUGGAGGCAAGUAGUGCAUGCACUAAGAAACAUGGCAAAAUGUGGAUCCACCUCACAAUGAGCAUGUCCACCCUGCUUGAUGAAGGGACGCAAGUCCAUAGUCUUUAGAAAAUAACAAUAUGCACUUAGGAAACAUUGUACUAUUUGUGUCUAGAAGGAAGCAAAUUUGUAGCAUAUCCGAAACAUGUUGUAUGUACGGACAAAGCACAGAGAAAACUUAUGUUUGGUUACAAGCAAAUUAUUUUUAGAGUGGAAACACUUAUGUAGUGGAUGAAAGCAAAAAGUUCUUGUGUUGGAAACAUGUACAAUAAAAAGAGUAAAUGAUGGGACACAAAAUUUCCCUUGUGAAAACAAAUACUUGGAUGCAAGAUUUUGAUCUUUGCUCUACUGUGAGUGUUUUACCACCACAUCCCACUAGUUCAUAGGAACAUUAUUCUUUGAUUUUGUUUUUUGUUUCUACUAAUCAUGGCAGGUUCCAGAGUGAAUUGGGCUUCAUCGAUCAUGGGAGACGUGCCAUCACCUCAGAAAAUACAACCACCAUCUCAAGAGCUACAAAGACAUCAGAAUGCGCACAAACAAGUUCUUGUUUCCAUGCCACCUUUUAAUGGCCGUUUUAAGCCUGAUUUAUAUAUUGAAUGGGAGUUCGAAAUAAAUGCUAUAUUUGCUUCCCAUAAUUAUUCUGAACGUCAAAAAGUUAAGGUCGCGGUUGGUACUUUCACUGAUUUUGCUACUGUUUGGUGGAGUGAACAUUGUCGGUUAUACCCUGAUUAUGUACCUACUACUUGGGAUGAUUUAAAACUUGUCAUGGGAGAGAGAUUCGUCGAUGUUUAUUAUACUCGUGGCAUGAUAAAAAAAACUACAACAUUUAAAACAAGGUAGUGACACCGUAACAAAAUAUUAUGAUGAUUUGCAAACUACCUUGUUGCAUUCCUUUUUAUAGGAAACUGAAGAUGAUUUUAUGGAUAGGUUUUGGGGAGGAUUAAACCGUGAUAUUCAAGAGAUACUAAUUCUGAAGAGUGUUAUCCUAUGGACCAUUUGUUUUGUCUUGCUUGCAAAGCUGAACAGGAAAUAAAACAACAUGCUGCCCACAAGGAGAACAAGCGCGAUGUGCACAUUCCAAGAGUUGAUACGGUUGUCCCUUCAACUACUAGGUAUACUUUGACAACCACAUUCGUUGUUGUGAGGACUGCAUCACCUCCAUCAUGUGACACAUCACCAUCGAGAGUGCCUACAUCAUCUGAGUUGAUCAUAAGAGGUAAUGACAAAGGGCCUAGAACGGACAAGAAGGAUGAACAUUGGAGCAUGGUCAAGCACAAAGAAGAAGGUGC
Triticum aestivum (bread wheat) is the source of this 2705-nucleotide long non-coding RNA. RefSeq lists it as uncharacterized. The record is from RefSeq and is a predicted model, not a curated record. The transcript has 3 exons. NCBI's taxonomy places the organism in Eukaryota, Viridiplantae, Streptophyta, Magnoliopsida, Poales, Poaceae.